Erpetoichthys calabaricus (reedfish) is the source of this 3634-nucleotide long non-coding RNA. RefSeq lists it as uncharacterized. The record is from RefSeq and is a predicted model, not a curated record. The transcript has 2 exons. Lineage: Eukaryota; Metazoa; Chordata; Cladistia; Polypteriformes; Polypteridae.
AGCAUUAUACAUGCUCAGAUGACAGUCAUGAAGUAGUCCUUCCAGUGUCCACUGUGCUCAGAAUAUGAAUGUUACAAGUUUCACUGCAGUUCAUCUAUCUGCCUUUGGUUUUCUACAUUAGCAUUUUUAUUUCUUCUUCAAAUAUGUAAAGAGUUCAUCUUCAACAACACAUGUCUUCAGUUUAUUCUGUGAUACUACAAUCAUCUUAAGACAUUUUUCAUUUUUCAUCUUAAAUGCACUUCAGCUUUUUCCACUAUGGUUAUUGAAUAAACCUUUUACUGUUAACUUAAGAGAAUUCUUAGGGUCUUACAUUGUACAUUUUUAGAAAAGAAUUCCGCACCAGCUUUCGUCUACACAAGUAUGAGGAGAUAAUUUUAGCCUUUUCUAGUUAGACACACUUAUGAGUCCAUAAGUGCUCCUGGUUACUCUCCUUUGCACAGCUACAUUUGUGGGACAUAGACAAGUAUAGUUAAUAUUCUGGAAAGUGUUUGAACUAACUGAAUAAUUAAUAAUAUUUUGAAAAGUGAUAGUGCAUUUAAAUUUUUUUAUAAGGCAGUAGGAGGAAAAGAAAGAAAGAUGUGUUUCAAGAAGGUAAAACAUAGCACUUUAUUAGAUAACUCAUUCCUCACAGACAUAUACUCAUUUUACUUGUUUUUGUAGUAUAAUCUGCAAUAAGAAGUCAAGCCAGGGGCCUGAGCUGCCUCGAAAGCUUGCCUAUUGUAAUUUGUUCAGUUAGCUAAUCAAAGGUGUCAUUUUGCUUGACUUCUCAUUGCAUUCAUAAUGGCUAAUGCAGUACAGUAUCCUACUGCUGCUAUAGUAUAAUCUGUAAAUUAUGCAUUUGUUGAAGGCAUAUGCAGAAUACAGUGGCUGUUAUUAACAUACAAGAGAAAACAGUUUACGUCGUCCUUUGUUUAAAUACAUCUGUUAUUCCAAGUGUAAUGUGAGGAAUAUUCCACAUAUGCAAUUUUAGGUUUCAACCGCCUAUUUGUUCUCUCCGUUUCACUCCCAUCUUCUCUGCUUACUUUUCCUUUAAAAUAGUCACUGAUAUUUGUUUUAUUUGGAGAAAACAAACAAAUGCUUGAUAAAAUUAUCAUGAGUAUUAUAUGAGCUAAUAUACAAAAAUAAUUAAACCCAACCAUACAUUAUGAAACCUCCUUAAUCGUGUUGAGUUCCAGUAAGAGUUAAAGCCUAUCCUGGCAAGACAGGAUGCAAAGCAGAGACAAUCCCAGGGCAAGAGUGCAGUGCUACGUUCAUGCAGGCCACAUUACACAGGUCAGUUUGGAGAGACUCCAGUUAAAGCUGUCAUUACAUUACACAAUUUCUAGUCGGAAGUAUGCCAAACUUGACAACUGGGGUGUCUAAUCUCAUCACCUGAGGAUGUUGGAUUGCAUUCUAGAUAUCUGAGUGGAUGAUAAUGUAGAACUCUGUCACGUAACUUUAUUUUUUCAGUGGUUUUCAGUUGCAGAUGUCAUUUACAUAAUCUUAGAGAGUCGGAGGUAGAUGCGGUAGGCUCCAUUGACAAGUGGUGGUGUAGCCUGACAUUCCCAGCAACUCAGUCCAACCAGUCUGCAACUCGCCCUGACAAAAUCAACAGGUUUGACUUUUCCAAAGUAUCGCAAGCUUAUCCGUUUUUCUGACAGCCAAUAAUGUGCUAUGUGACAUAGUCGUUGCUACAUGAAUGUUUUCCAAACACGAUGAAUUCAGCUGCAAUCGAUCUUCUUUUUUUUUUUUGACCAUUCUAUCAUGAUGACACAGAUUGGCCUCUCUUCCAACAAAUGUCCUUUUAUUUCUUGUUGCUACAUUAUAUACAUUGUACUCCAGGGUGGCCCAUCUUUGGUUGACAGCCAUCGCAUACACAGAGCCCACCCCUACAUCUUAAGACAAAAUCAGCUUUGUAAGGAUGAGCUCCAGACUGACUUGCAGAGGAUGUCAGGCUACACAAAUCCAGCUCGCAGGAACAUGCUGUGACUGCUCCCAUCUUGUUUAUAUUAUUUAAAUGAAGUCUAUGAUUGAAAAUGUCUGGGUAAAAUUAUGCAAAGUGACAGGGCCUUUUGGGAAAUGUGGGAGGAACAAACUAACACAAAGAAAAAAAUCACAAAGACGCUAUCCAUGUCAGGGUUCAAUCCUACUACUCUGGGGUUAUGAGGUAGUAGUGUAAAUGUAUUUAUUUGUCCAGUUUUCUGUUCCAGUUUGUUAUGUAGCAGACAAUUCUUUUUUUUCUAUAGCAGGAUUCAUUUAUUAAUAACCUAAUACUGGUUUCUUUUAGCAAUGAGCAUUUUGUAUAAUUUUAUUUGGCUAUCUGAACAUGGUUUUCAAAAGUCAGCCUAAUGUUUAUAUUAAAAAAAAACACUUUGCAAGAAGGUUGAAAUGUGGUUUAGGGUUUGCAGUUGUCUUCCUUGAUGUCAGAAGGCGAGGGCUAAUAUACUGUGUCCCAAAGGAAAUGUCUCCAGAAGAGGCUUGUGUGGGACUGAUUUCUUUUCACCUGCUGUGUUAAACUUGAAUUUUGCAAUGCUGAGCUUCUGCAGAGCUUUGUACUCAUUCCCUCCAGUAUAAUAUUUUUGCAAUAUGAAAAGUAAAUCAACAGACAAAUCUCUCUGUAGAACAUAUCUUGUUUCUCACUGCUAACACAUAAAGACAAUCGGUUAUUGUUUAUUUAGCCUAUUUAAUACAAAGCAGCUCUUUAAAGCUGGAUGUGAUUAAAAGGUUCCAACCUUAUUGAAUUGGGUGAGUCACUUGUGGUUUGCAAAGCAACAAUGGACAUGGCUGUGAUGUUAGCAGACUGUUUUUAGUUAAAUCUCACCCAUUUUCACGUUAUUGUAGGUGUUGAAUUGUAAUGUUAUUUUUAUCUUGCCAAUUGCUUUCUUUAAUUUUAUAAUUUAAGGGUAUCUGAUCACUUGAUUGCACUUUCCAGGACAUUAGUUUAUUUGUAUACAUGAUGCAUACUUUAUUGCUGAAAUUAUGGUGUACAAGCAGUGUUUGCUAAAUCUUUGCAGUUAUUAGCUGAUAACGACUUGUACCUUGACUCAUACCUUCUAAAGUUUAAUGACUGAAUAUCAGCUACAAAAUUAAUUGGCCCAUAAUUUAAUAUUACAUAUUAAAAAAACAGCUACACUUUUCACUUUUUAGUUAUUUUUGCAUGACAUAGGAUUGCCUUGUGAAAUUCAUCACAGCCAGAAAUGUAUUUUUUGUUCUUAAUUAAUAUUUCAAUAGCUGUUCUUUUAAGUAAAUAGUGGCAUAUAUUACCAUAUCACUGAAGCAGUCACAUAGAUCAAUUGCAUCUUUAAUUCUAUAUUUUGUGGUAUGAAAUGUGAAAAAAUACAAGUGUUUACUUUUUCAGAGUCUUCUUAGAGUUUGUGUUUCUGACUGUCCAACAUUGAUUUUGUAAGUACUGAAUCUGUGCACAUCCUCAUGUCCACGCUAAGGAAAAUGUCCUGAAAUUAAUUAUUCAAAAAUCAGGAAUAUUUCUGUCAAUAACAAUACUAUUUUUGUAUGAGACCUGAUUGAAUUUAGUCUGUCAUAAUCUACAGUGAUGUAUCCCACUGCGAUCAUCAAAUAAAAUGCAGGGAAAUGCUUGUUGGAGUAUCAGCCUAACUAUUAAAAAUGAAAUUUAUUAACAUCCAAAACAAAAAUCAAA